UAGCUCAGUGAUAGAGCCCGUGCCUAGCACGCACGAGGUCCUGGGUUCAAUCCCCAG
RNAcentral lists this transfer RNA (57 nucleotides) under Camelus bactrianus (Bactrian camel). It matches the Rfam family "tRNA", at positions 8 to 63 of the family's 71-position model. Rfam says of the family: Transfer RNA (tRNA) molecules are approximately 80 nucleotides in length. Their secondary structure includes four short double-helical elements and three loops (D, anti-codon, and T loops). RNAcentral also lists the same sequence under 2 other names. Lineage: Eukaryota; Metazoa; Chordata; Mammalia; Artiodactyla; Camelidae. The record is from Rfam by way of RNAcentral.